RNAcentral lists this transfer RNA (67 nucleotides) under Aminipila luticellarii. RNAcentral describes it as "Aminipila sp. JN-18 tRNA-Ala". It matches the Rfam family "tRNA", at positions 15 to 71 of the family's 71-position model. From Rfam's summary of the family: Transfer RNA (tRNA) molecules are approximately 80 nucleotides in length. Their secondary structure includes four short double-helical elements and three loops (D, anti-codon, and T loops). Further hydrogen bonds mediate the characteristic L-shaped molecular structure. tRNAs have two regions of fundamental functional importance: the anti-codon, which is responsible for specific mRNA codon recognition, and the 3' end, to which the tRNAs corresponding amino acid is attached (by aminoacyl-tRNA synthetases). tRNAs cope with the degeneracy of the genetic code in two manners: having more than one tRNA (with a specific anti-codon) for a particular amino acid; and 'wobble' base-pairing, i.e. permitting non-standard base-pairing at the 3rd anti-codon position. Lineage: Bacteria; Bacillati; Bacillota; Clostridia; Peptostreptococcales; Anaerovoracaceae. The record is from RNAcentral.
GCACCUAACUCGGGAGAGCGCAUGAUUCGCAAUCAUGAGGUCAGGGGUUCGAUCCCCCUAUGCUCCA